Molecule: ribosomal RNA, 253 nt
Filed under: uncultured bacterium
Lineage: Bacteria
Description: partial 16S ribosomal RNA
Rfam family: Bacterial small subunit ribosomal RNA
Source: RNAcentral
GACAGAGGGUGCAAACGUUGUUCGGAAUUACUGGGCGUAAAGCGCGUGUAGGCGGCCAUGCAAGUCGGGUGUGAAAUCCCACGGCUCAACCGUGGAAGUGCACUCGAAACUGCGUGGCUGGAGUUCUGGAGAGGAAGGCGGAAUACUUGGUGUAGAGGUGAAAUUCGUAGAUAUCAAGUGGAACACCGGUGGCGAAGGCGGCCUUCUGGACAGUAACUGACGCUGAGACGCGAAAGCGUGGGGAGCAAACAGG